This 699-nucleotide ribosomal RNA is filed under the name Russula virescens. RNAcentral describes it as "eukaryotic LSU rRNA". The stretch from base 263 to 416 matches the Rfam family "5.8S ribosomal RNA". The record is from RNAcentral. Lineage: Eukaryota; Fungi; Basidiomycota; Agaricomycetes; Russulales; Russulaceae.
AAAAGUCGUAACAAGGCAUCCGAAGAAGAACCGGCGGAAGGAUCAUUAUCGNANNNNNNNNNNGCCCAGGGCUGUCGCUGACCUUCACAGGUCGUGACGCCCNAAGGUGCUCUCUUAUGUCCAUCUCACCCCUUUGUGCAUCACCGCGUGUGCCCCCCUUAUUGGGCUUGUUCCAAAGGGGGGUUCGCGUUUUAACACAGACACCAAUUUUUAAGAGCAUGUGUAGAAUGUCUUACUUUUUGCGAUUAUGCGCAAUCAAUACAACUUUCAACAACGGAUCUCUUGGCUCUCGCAUCGAUGAAGAACGCAGCGAAAUGCGAUACGUAAUGUGAAUUGCAGAAUUCAGUGAAUCAUCGAAUCUUUGAACGCACCUUGCGCCCCUUGGUAUUCCGAGGGGCACACCCGUUUGAGUGUCGUGAACACCCUCAACCUUCUUGGUUUCUUGACCAGGAAGGCUUGGACUUUGGAGGUUUUCCUUGCUGGCCUUCCUUCGAAGCCAGCUCCUCCUAAAUGAAUUAGUGGGGCUCGCUUUGCCGAUCCUUGACGUGAUAAGUAUGCUUCUACGUCUUGGGUUUUGAACGAACCCGCUUCAAACGGUCUUUGAACAAAGACGAUGUUCGAGUUGCAUCGUGUGACUCGAACACAGCGACCUUGACCUCAAAUCGGGUGAGACUACCCGCUGAACUUAAGCAUAUCAAU